CCAAAUCAUUUGACAUAACUGAUGUUCCAAAGAAACCAGAAGUUUCUACUUCUGUAUCACAGUUCUAAGACAUGCAAACAGAGCAGUUCUUGAGAGCAUUUUUGAAGGAAGAGAAUCUUUAUGAAGUCAUAAUGGAGCUUUCUGAGGAUCCUCUGGACUCCCCCCGCCCCCAUCCCCAAACCCCUGUUCCAGAGGGGCAGUUCUAAUAGGGCUGAGUGCAGUUUGAGAGACAUUUUCCUACUUUAUGGCUCCUCUUCACUAACUUACAAAGCAGUGGCCACUGUGGGAGCCUCGGAGCCCAGAGCCCAGAGCCCAGGGAGAAUGGCACCUGCAUACGUGUGCCCAGGGAUAGAGACAGUGAUGAGGAUGGGACCCAAGAGACCAGUGUGCCAGUGUUCCCGAGGGAUCCAUGAGUCACUCUGGAAGAUCUUGCUUGCCUCAAGCUCCUUUUUAUAUGGUUGUCUUGGGGCAUUUUCGAAUAUCAAUUUCUUGGAAACUUUUUUUUUUUUUUUUUUGGUUCUUUUUUUCGGAGCUGGGGAUCAAACCCAGGGCCUUGCGCUUCCGAGCAGUUGCAAACAUAGGACUGCCUGAUUGAAGGGAGAAACCAUCUCAAGUGGGAGAGCCCAGCGCAUGCUGCAGUCCAGGAAACACGAUUGAAGACAAGCAUCAGAUUGAGGACCCACGGCGGGGUCAAUGGUACCAUCAUAGUCUCUUACAGUACUUGGGCAGAGUGACAUUUGAGCAAAGAAAAGAGGCUCAUGAGAAAAGUGGUCUGUCAGAUCCUAGGGAGCCUACUGUCAAAGAGCCAGCGUGGCAGCAAGUCCAGCUCAAUCCAGCCAUGAGCUAUAGAACCCAGUACAGCUUCUACAUCCAUCCUAAGACCCAGAACAGCUUGAUCAGAGGUCCAGGAUGUAGCCCAGGCUGGAACUGCACACUCCUCAAGGUUCCCAGCAGUGUCUCCUAGAUGACUGCUAGGUCCAGCUACACACUCCCAAGGACAAAUCCAGCAUCAAUUAGCACCGUAUUAUUAGCACCCUUAGGUAACUUCCAAGGUCACACUCUUAUACAUAAUGAUCAGAGACAACACAUUCUUUCAUUCCACCACCACCAAGGUCUGAUGCAACCAGGGCAGUACAAACUGAAUUGAAAGAGAAUUAACCAAUGACCGUAGGCCAUUGAACAGUCAGGUCCAAUUAAAGAGCAGGCGUUCAGUUUUCUAUGGUAAAGCUAAGUCCAAAAACACGGCAACAAGCAAGCGGCUGCUUGCAUUUUCUUCUACAGCGUUCUGAGACUGGAGCUGCACUCUCCAAAGGGAAAACAAGUCAGAGUUGACCUGACCCUGCAGGCUCCUCCUUCAUCUUCAGCAAGGCUUGGAAACCGAGUGUUCUCUGAGCCUUUGCUGGCCACUCAAUGUGAACAGAAGACCAAGCAGCUCUCUCGUGACCUCCCUUAUGGGCAAAGUUCAUCUGACUUCGAUCUAAGAGAGCUACCCUCAGAGGAGCUAAUGGGGUUUUGAUGGCUACUUCAAUCCAGAAGGCUGGGUGUCCUUCGCAGGUGGGGACUCUUUUGAGUAGAAGCAGGGGGUGAUCUGUAACAAGCUUACACAAAGAGGGGUAAGUGAUAAUGCUGUGAUUGCCCCCUAGUAGGGGGCCAUGUAUUUCCAAGAGCAGACGUGCUGGUCUUCACUCUGGCUUUGUGCAGAGAUCAUCUUAGAGAUGACAGAAGCCCUGUGAAUCAGUUGUGAACAUCCUCAUAGCUCCUGCCCCAGCUUUUGUUCUGUGUUGACUGAAGGCUGUAUAUAAGGAGUCUUCAGUCUUGUUUCCUAACACUUCAUCAUUUUGCUGCUGCCUGGGGUUCUUAGAGCGAAGAACCAUGACACCCAAGACCAGUCAUGGUAGAGUUAGAGCAUAGGUUGAGUCCAGGAUCUGUUGAAUUUAAGGAAGUCUCCCUGGGGUGCUUAUAGACCAUGCUAUCGGCCUUUGAGCAUGGAUCCUUAAUUAAGCUCCCCUUCAACCAUCAAAUGACUCAGAGUCGGGUCUGGUUUCUCUAGCAUCCCAGCCCCAGGGUUUUCCCCCUUGGCGGUGUGAACACUGUCCAUCUACCAGUUUCUUCCUGCACAUGUUAAAUUGCUGGAGGUGACAUCAAGGGCCAUAGACGAAGGUUACAUGAGUAGCCUGAGAAGAAUGGCCUCUCGGUUUUAGAGGACAGAGGGCUGAGCUGAGGUAGUUUCCUGUAAUGCCAUGAGAAGGUCUGCCCCAAGCUUCCAGAGACAGAUUUCUAGCCAUGACCUUGGUCACUUGUAGAAGCAUCGCCCCAGUUGCCAUUGGCUCAUGCAUGUCUGUAGUCUGAUUUCCUAUCAUGAGGAAUGCAGUUGCAUUAUACUCCAGUUCAUUUUAAUGACUUCCUGUUCACUUGAUUUCCUCCUAAAGCUAUAACUUCAGAUAAGAUUCCAUUUUGGGUCCAGUUGGGUAGGACCUCAUGGGUCUGCUGAGUCUAAAGCUAGCCCGGACCAUGCUACAGGUACAGCAGGGUCUGUCAGACUUCUGCUUCAGCCAUUGCCACAACGGGCUCAGUUGAUUGCCAGCCUCAGUUUAACUCAGGUCUUUUGUGAUUAUUCUAUAACUUGUCUAGUUAUAGACAUCCUUGGGUUUGGUGAUAGGACCCUAGAAAACAGCAUGAGAUCAAGUUGGCAAGUCAUGUAGACAACUUUAGGAAGUAUCAUAUGCUCCAGGUUUCCCGUUUCCUCCUAGAUUGCCAUUUUUUCCUUGUUUAUUUUUUUGCCACUAAUGGCACGGUGAUGUCUCCUCUUUUGGAAGCUCAUUCCUCACCAGCUUGGUCCUCUUCAGAUUCUGGCAAUCCAUCUGUGGUGUUUAUAAACAUCAUAGCUCCGAUGUGGAAGUGGCCCCAGAGACAUUGACUUGGGCUUGGCCAGCCCUCUCUGGCCUUGUAGACUGCCUCCAGGUCCUUGCAAGUCCUUGACGUUAGUCAUCUCUGCUCAACUCAUGUCAGCGAUGGAACUCUUCUGCUUGGCUUCAAAGUCUCUGUCUGGAGAGACUGUGUACCUGGAGAGGGCUUUGUACCUGGAUAACAGAUCACCAUCAGCUGGGCAGUAGGACUUGCCUCAAGGACAGUAAAUGCUUCUGUGGAGGGAAGGGACUCCAGGAGACCGUUUGUCCUUGGAAGCAGAUGGUAAUUAGGAAAGUACCAGUCACCUACACCGGCACGUAAGCUCAUAUUACCUGCCAGUGUCCUCCAGACUUUUAUAGGCAUGAGAGCCAGGUGUCUUUAGAGCACCUGACUCAGGGGAAAGAUUUCUGGUAUAUUCACAAAGGUAACUACUUGAAUUCCAGUAAGAAGGGGUUAACCAGUCAUGGUUGUGCCACAGACUGGAGCUUGAGGUGUGAGACAUUUGGCUGAGAGUGGUUACUCAUUGGGUUACUCAAUGGGGUUUAGGUAGACCAGAUAAUCCUUGUAACCUAGGGGUUGUAGAUCAUAGUGUCUCCUGCAGUUGACAGUUUUGACCUGGCUUUGUCUGUAACUAGGGAUCUUUCCAGACUGGACUCUUUCUCCAUUUUCUGUCUUUGUCUGGCCUUGUUGCUCCCUGGGCUUCAUGCCCAGAACUGAAGUAUUCAAGUUGCUGGGUGGCCAGAGCAUUUCCCUAUUGCCCAGCACAUAGGGAGAAAGAGAUCAGAUUGCCCUUCAGGUGCCCUGCCUGCCAUUUCCUGGGGGUAGAGAUGUCUUCUUGUGUUUGCUUAUGGAAUCUCAGUAAUCUAACAUCACUUCAAAGUUGGCUUGUGGUUCUGAGAAUUAUUUCUCAUGCACUGGCUCACUUUCCUGUCCGAAAUAUAGGGAUUAGGGUUCUAUUUCAUGGUUCUAUUUCUGGACUCCAUGUUAUCUUGUAGAAUUAUAACUUAAUUGUCCCUCUAGACUAGACCAGUGGAGACAAGGCAUGCGCUCCUUCCUCUCUGGAGCCCCGUUUUCACAUUGACCCCUUUUCAAACAUGGUUGGAAGCAGAGUAAUGUACUAUGCAUCUCUGCGAUGGGGUGGGUCUCCUUGUUGAGUAGGCCAGUGAGUUACGAGCCAUGAAGCUUCCGAAGUUUCUUGGUGAUGGAUGAAAUUUUGUCCUGUGUCACAAUCUCUUCCUAUGCUGCUUCAACUUCAGUUCUCUUGAUAGGGGUCUAUUGGAGGAAUUCUAGCUGGGAGAAUGGCUAGUCACUUGUGCCUGGAGGGACAAAAACUGAAGGGGUCUCAGGGACAUAGUGCCCAUAGAUCCCAAUUUCUCCAACAGUGAUAGGCGCUCCAGCCUGGAGCCUUGUGGGAACUUUCUGCUGAUGCAGAUCCGGAGACUCAGCUGAGUCUUAGUUUAUCCCCCCACCCCCUUUUUUCUUUUUCUUUUGGUUUUUCAAGGCAGGAUUUCUUUAAACCUAA
This is a non-coding RNA of Rattus norvegicus (Norway rat), 4429 nucleotides long. The record is from RefSeq and is a predicted model, not a curated record. NCBI's taxonomy places the organism in Eukaryota, Metazoa, Chordata, Mammalia, Rodentia, Muridae.